This 23-nucleotide small nuclear RNA is filed under the name Arabidopsis thaliana (thale cress). RNAcentral describes it as "snRNA_01156". Lineage: Eukaryota; Viridiplantae; Streptophyta; Magnoliopsida; Brassicales; Brassicaceae. The record is from RNAcentral.
CAAGACUUACAGACCAAUUAAGG